Molecule: ribosomal RNA, 467 nt
Filed under: uncultured bacterium
Lineage: Bacteria
Description: partial 16S ribosomal RNA
Rfam family: Bacterial small subunit ribosomal RNA
Source: RNAcentral
GAUAAACGCUGGCGGCGCGCCUAACACAUGCAAGUCGAACGAUUAAAGCACCUUCGGGUGUGUAUAAAGUGGCGAACGGCUGAGUAACACGUGGGCAACCUGCCCCUUUCAUUGGGAUAGCCACGGGAAACCGUGGAUAAUACCGAAUACUUCGAGACUUCCGCAUGGAAGACUCGAGAAAGCUCCGGCGGAGAGGGAUGGGCCCGCGGCCUGUUAGCUUGUUGGUGGGGUAACGGCCUACCAAGGCAAUGAUGGGUAGCUGGGUUGAGAGACCGACCAGCCAGAUUGGGACUGAGACACGGCCCAGACUCCUACGGGGGGCAGCAGUGGGGAAUCUUGCACAAUGGGCGAAAGCCUGAUGCAGCGACGCCGCGUGCGGGAUGAAGGCCUUCGGGUUGUAAACCGCUUUCAGCAGGGACGAGGCGAAAGUGACGGUACCUGCAGAAGAAGCCCCGGCUAACUACGUG